RNAcentral lists this unclassified non-coding RNA (263 nucleotides) under Hevea brasiliensis (rubber tree). The record is from RNAcentral. Lineage: Eukaryota; Viridiplantae; Streptophyta; Magnoliopsida; Malpighiales; Euphorbiaceae.
AUCUCCCUCCUAUAGAGCCUUUGUCUUGUUUGUUUCUUCUAUUUCUAUCCCAUAGGAUUGAAAGAAAGUAUAUCUUGAUCUAAAUUGGAAGGAAGUCAUGAUAGAGGAGAUAAAGGCAUUAGCAAAAAAUGAGAUAAAGGAUCUUUUUACUCUUCCAUUAGGAAAGAAACUGGCAAGAUGUAAAUGAGUGUUUACAGUGAAGCAUAGAGCAAAUGGUUCCAUUGAGAGGUAUAAGGUCAGGUGUUACAUAGCAGAAUCUCAGA